Long non-coding RNA from Esox lucius (northern pike), 638 nucleotides. RefSeq lists it as uncharacterized. The record is from RefSeq and is a predicted model, not a curated record. The transcript is spliced from 3 exons. Lineage: Eukaryota; Metazoa; Chordata; Actinopteri; Esociformes; Esocidae.
CAGUUUUCGGAUUUUGCCUUCAAAAUACAAGUCCACGAUUUUCGUGACCUGGAAGUGUUUCUUUAAUGUUGCUCACAAAACGCUGAUGCUUUCUUGGCAGUGAAACCAACUCCAAUUUUGGGAAGGACACAAAUGAGUAGGCCAGCCCUCAGCACCGUAUCCUGCCAUGGCACAUGAAACACCUCAUCAGGUCAUUGAGGACUCCAACAGCAGCCUGAGAGGCCCUCCCUGCGUCAGCCAAGGUGCCUCCCUCUGUGACCUGUCUUCUCCACUUCCCAGCUGUGCCUCGCCAUUGUUCAAAAGAGAGUCUGUUAAAUUAGGUGGUAUAUACUUUGUUGCAGGUGUGUUGGCAGCAUCUGUAUAGGCCAGAUAGUUGUGCAGUGCAGCACAGCCCUUCACAACAUGUAUACAUUUGUCUGGUAGGAAUUCCAACGGUCUGCCUAAAAUUCUCCACCUUGCGGCCAUCAUACCAAAUUAGUUCUCAAUGAUGUCUGGUCUGUGAAUGUUGAUAUUUGUAGAUCAUCUUGCUUUUGUCCAGAUUGGCACCCGGUAAAGCAGAAUAUACAUUGAAAUGUAAAAUAAAUAUCCAAUGACUAACUGCAUUUUGUUGUACUGUACUUGUACUUGUUCAAUGACAA